Molecule: long non-coding RNA, 2749 nt
Filed under: Homo sapiens (human)
Lineage: Eukaryota; Metazoa; Chordata; Mammalia; Primates; Hominidae
Description: HSALNT0328663
Source: RNAcentral
UACAGGCGCGCACGCCUGCUAAGAAGAGACAGCGUUUUACCAUGUGCCCAGGCUGAUAAACCAUUUAAUUUCCAUCUUAUUACUGGUUGAGUUGGGAUUAAGUUCAAUAAAUUGCUAUUUUUUAGAAUUUAUCCCAUUUAUUUUCUUUAAUCAACCCUUUUAUUUGUUCAAUUUUGGAAUAAUUUGGCUAUUUUUUAGCUUCUCAUUGUAUGUAUUUUUAUUACGCUGAUAGUUGCUGUUCUACAGACUACAACAUUCCUUUUUCAUUUACUAAAAAUAUCUUUAAAUCAAUAUCUUAACCAUUUUCCAAAUGAUGUAUAAUUACCCUCCACCAUUACCCUCUACCAUUUGUUCUAUUAUUAUCUUAUGUUUUAUUUUAUAUAUUUUAAAUUCUACAAUAAUUUAUUAUUUUUUGGAUCCAUCAAUAUUGAUUAUAUUUAUCCAUUUAUUCACCAUUUUUCAAACUUUUCAGCUUUUCUUGCAGUUCCGUGUUUUCAUCUGGCACGCUUCACCUUUAGCAUAAGGAAGUAGUUUUAGUAUUUCUUGCAAUUCAGAUCUGCCAGAGUAAAAUUCACCUAGCUUUUAUUUCUCUCUCUUUCUUUAUAAAACCUCUUUGUUUUGCCUUUGCUUUUGGAUAAUAUUUUAUUGACGUUUCUGCUUUCUUUUAUAGCUUUUGUUGAAAAGCCAACUUCCAAUGUUACUGUUUUUAUUUGUUUUAAAUAAUUUGUCUUUUUAUACCUUUAGGUGCUAUUACGUAUUUUCAAUUUGAAUUUGUUUUAGUAAUUUUUUUAUAAUGCACUUAUUUGUAUUUCUUUUGUGGUUAUUCAAUUUCAUGUUCACCGAGGUGAUCAAACUGUGGUUUUAUAUGUUUCAUCAAAUUUAGAAAAUUCUUAAUAAUAUUUUCUCAAUAUUUCUUUUAAGUCUCUUUUGUCUUCUUGUUAUACCCAAAUUACACAUACAUUAAGUGUUUUGAGUGAUUACAUGUCUAUCUACUCUUCUUCCAUUAUUUUUUCUCAGUUCUUCAGUUUGGAUAUUUUCUAUUGAUGUGUGUUUGAAACCACGAGUCCUGUCUUCCAAUGUGUUCAGGCUUCUGUUGAACCCAUCUAUCAAGUUUUUAACUUCAGAUGGUUAUGUGUUGCAUUUAUGGAAUGUACCUUGGAUUUUUUCUUUCUUUUUUCCUUUCUUUCUCUCUCUCUGUCUCGUUCUUUCUUUCAUCUAUAUUUUAAGUUCAGGGAUACACGUGCAGUUUCUUUUGCUAAGCAGAAACUCUUUAGUUUAUAGAUGCCAUUUGUCAACUUUUUGCUUUUGUUGCAAUUGCUUUUGACAAAUUCAUCAUGAAAUAUUUGCCCUUUCCAAUGUCCUGAAUGAGAUAGGAUUUCAUCCUGUUGGCCAGGCUGUUCUUGAACUCCUAAGCUCAGGUGAUCCACCCGCCUCAGCCUCCAAAGUGCUGGGAUUACAGGCAUAAACCACCACAUCCGGUCUUAUUUUUAUCAAUUUCAAAUAUAUUAUGAAAUUAUUUCUCUUUCCAUCCAUUACUUUAUCUUUUACUGCAUUUUCUUUAAUAUAUUAACCAAUAACCAUUUAAUAUGUUAAGCAUUCUAUUCAGAAAACUUGGCCUGCUAAAUCCAAUACAUAGAUCACUGGAUCUGGGGCUAUUAACCAACACACUUUUUGCCAUCUGCAGUUUUCUCUUUUUAUAGCCUAACUUUGAAUUUCGUUUUCUUUUAUUUUUUCCCCAAUUUAUCCUGCUUUUUUCAUGUUAAUAGAGUGUGAACUUGUCAAAAUUAAUUAAAUUCAUAUAUUUUCCUAAAAUUUUCUAAGAAAAAUUCAUGUGUUUACUUCCAUAGUAAACACAAUUGUCUUAAAAAUAGGCAUGUUGUUUUCUUUUUUGUACUGGAAAACUUAGGUAUUAAUAGUUCCCCUGGUUUACCAAUCUUGUUUUGUGGAUUAGUUAAGCUAGUAGUCCAUGAGAACUCUAGCACAAUGAGGUCAUGACAUUAAAUCUUGAAAAUUUUUGCUAAAUUGCCAUGAUGCUAUAAAAAGUGUUGGGGCUUUUGGUCUUUAUUUUUUGAACCUUGAAAACAAAUUAGAAUUCAAUUUCCUCCAUGUCACUUUUGCAAGAAUAUUCAAGUGUUUUUUGAGUCAUGAUAAUAUUGAUCAAUUAUGAACACUUUAGAAUGGGAGAAAAUUAACAAUUAUGUGUCUUUCUCAGUGAGACCCAUCAUCUGAUAUUCUCACGAUUUUGACAAUGAUGGACUGUUGUCAAACUCUCAUUCAUUAACCCUACUCCUACUUUCUGGGACACACAGUAGUAGACUGAGGUUCUUCAAAUAUUUGAAGUCCGUAUCUCCAUUUCCCUCCCCUUUGACUUACAGGAAUGCCAGUGGAAACUUUCUCAGGAUCAUUAAGCUGGUCAGUUUGACUUUUCAUUGGCAUAUAGCCAUUAAAAACCUAACUACAGCUUAGUGUAAAGAAACUUCAAACAUAAAUGUAGGUAAUCAGUUCUUGUACAACAGAGCUCAGCUGCUGUGGGUGACAUUUGCCUGCUGGAAGAGUGUAACCUCUGCUUAUUAAUAAUGACUCUUCUCAAGUCAGCUGCUCUGAGCAGAUUGCACUUUCUAGAGAAAAGUUGCAAAUUUGGGAAAGGCAAAGGCAAAAAUCAUAUCUAUUGGGGAUAAUGCAAAGGCCUAAUAUGGGCAGAAUAUUUGUAAAAGUGGGUAAGGAGCUAAGGAUAAGGCUGAGUAUUGAC